RNAcentral lists this small RNA (28 nucleotides) under Bombyx mori (domestic silkworm). RNAcentral's name for it is "ovarian small RNA-29076". Lineage: Eukaryota; Metazoa; Arthropoda; Insecta; Lepidoptera; Bombycidae. The record is from RNAcentral.
UCGUAACGGUUUUUUGCCGGAGGAUUGA